RNAcentral lists this ribosomal RNA (459 nucleotides) under uncultured bacterium. RNAcentral describes it as "partial 16S ribosomal RNA". It matches the Rfam family "Bacterial small subunit ribosomal RNA", at positions 338 to 795 of the family's 1533-position model. The record is from RNAcentral.
CCUACGGGAGGCAGCAGUGAGGAAUAUUGGUCAAUGGGCGCGAGCCUGAACCAGCCAAGUCGCGUGAGGGAAGACGGUCCUAUGGAUUGUAAACCUCUUUUGUCGGGGAGCAAAAGACGCCACGCGUGGCGUUCCGUGAGUACCCGAAGAAAAAGCAUCGGCUAACUCCGUGCCAGCAGCCGCGGUAAUACGGAGGAUCCGAGGGUUAUCCGGAUUUAUUGGGUUAAAAGGGGGCGAAGGCGGAAGAUCAAGUCGGCGGUAAAAUUGAGGGGCUAAACCUUUUAGAGCCGUUGAAACUGGUUUUCUUGAGUGAAUGAGAAGUAGGCGGAAUGCGUGGUGUAGCGGUGAAAUGCAUAGAUAUCACGAAGAACUCCGAUUGCGAAGGCAGCAUACCGGCGCUCAACUGACGCUCAUGCACGAAAGUGUGGGUAUCGAACAGGAUUAGAUACCCCUGUAGUC